CGAGUGGCGAACGGGUGAGUAACGCGUGAGGAACCUGCCUCAAAGAGGGGGACAACAGUUGGAAACGACUGCUAAUACCGCAUAAGCCCACGGGUCGGCAUCGACCAGAGGGAAAAGGAGCAAUCCGCUUUGAGAUGGCCUCGCGUCCGAUUAGCUAGUUGGUGAGGUAACGGCCCACCAAGGCAACGAUCGGUAGCCGGACUGAGAGGUUGAACGGCCACAUUGGGACUGAGACACGGCCCAGACUCCUACGGGAGGCAGCAUG
RNAcentral lists this ribosomal RNA (265 nucleotides) under uncultured bacterium. RNAcentral's name for it is "partial 16S ribosomal RNA". It matches the Rfam family "Bacterial small subunit ribosomal RNA", at positions 92 to 353 of the family's 1533-position model. The record is from RNAcentral.